RNAcentral lists this long non-coding RNA (1950 nucleotides) under Lactuca sativa (garden lettuce). RNAcentral describes it as "long non-coding RNA (LSAT_LNC001668)". The record is from RNAcentral. Lineage: Eukaryota; Viridiplantae; Streptophyta; Magnoliopsida; Asterales; Asteraceae.
GGGGCGAGGCGAGGGUCUGGUCCGAGGCGAUGCAGUCCGAAGCGAAGUGGGAAGCGAAAGCAGGUUCGGUCCGAGGCAGCUAUCCGACGCGAAGGUAGAGUUCGGUCCGAAGGGUGGCUAGAACCGAAGCUACUGUUGUGAACAGUAGUGAACAGUAACUUCGGUUCGGACCUUCCUUCCAUGUGAGGUUCGGUUCGGACCUUUCUUCUUAGCAGGGUUCGGUUCGGAUCUCUUUCAUGGCCGGGUUCGGUUCGGAUGAACAGUACUUUCGGUUCAGCUCAUGAACAGUACUUUCGGUUCGGACCCUCAUGAAUAGUGCUUUCGGUUCGGUUCGUGAAUAGUACUUUCGGUUCGGAGGGUUCGUUCCCUUAAGUCCGUUUUUCGCGUAGACUUCCGUUCUUGGGCUAUUUUCGCCAAAUUCGAGGGUCGGGAUGCCCCGAGUGAUUAUAGAAAGUUGGGAGAGAUUUCGAGAGAGAUUUGAGAGAGAUUCCUCGUUCUCAGAGAGAUUUGGGAGAGAUUUGACGUACUUGGAGAGAUUUCGCAUACGAAGAGAUACGUGAGAGAGAUUUCACAUACUUAGAGAGAUUUGGGAGAGAUUUGACAUACUUGGAGAGAUUUCACAUACAAAGAGAUAUGUGAGAGAGAUUUCACAUACUUAGAGAGAUUUGGGAGAGAUUUGACAUACUUGGAGAGAUUUCACAUACAAAGAGAUAUGUGAGAGAGAUUUCACAUACUUAGAGAGAUUUGGGAGAGAUUUGACAUACUUGGAGAGAUUUCACAUACAAAGAGAUAUGUGAGAGAGAUUUCACAUACUUAGAGAGAUUUGGGAGAGAUUUGACAUACUUGGAGAGAUUUCACAUACAAAGAGAUAUGUGAGAGAGAUUUCACAUACUUAGAGAGAUUUGGGAGAGAUUUGACAUACUUGGAGAGAUUUCACAUACAAAGAGAUAUGUGAGAGAGAUUUCACAUACUUAGAGAGAUUUGGGAGAGAUUUGACAUACUUGGAGAGAUUUCACAUACAAAGAGAUAUGUGAGAGAGAUUUCACAUACUUAGAGAGAUUUGGGAGAGAUUUGACAUACUUGGAGAGAUUUCACAUACAAAGAGAUAUGUGAGAGAGAUUUCACAUACUUAGAGAGAUUUGGGAGAGAUUUGACAUACUUGGAGAGAUUUCACAUACAAAGAGAUAUGUGAGAGAGAUUUCACAUACUUAGAGAGAUUUGGGAGAGAUUUGACAUACUUGGAGAGAUUUCACAUACAAAGAGAUAUGUGAGAGAGAUUUCACAUACUUAGAGAGAUUUGGGAGAGAUUUGACAUACUUGGAGAGAUUUCACAUACAAAGAGAUAUGUGAGAGAGAUUUCACAUACUUAGAGAGAUUUGGGAGAGAUUUGACAUACUUGGAGAGAUUUGGGAGAGAUUUGACAUACUUGGAGAGAUUUCGCAUACAAAGAGAUAUGUGAGAGAGAUUUCACAUACUUAGAGAGAUUUGGGAGAGAUUUGACAUACUUGGAGAGAUUUGGGAGAGAUUUGACAUACUUGGAGAGAUUUCGCAUACAAAGAGAUAUGUGAGAGAGAUUUCACAUACUUAGAGAGAUUUGGGAGAGAUUUCACAUACUUAGAGAUAUGUGGGAGAGGUUUCACAUACUUAGAGAUAUGUGGGAGAGGUUUCACUGGUGACCUUUUUGAGUGUCCGGCUACGCACUGCAAGGUCCUUAAACCCAGUUAAGCCUUGAUUAGGGAUCUUGCAUACUCCCGAUGAGUAUGUAACAUUGUUGUAUCGGUUUGGCUUUCUACGUACCACCGUUUUAGGUUAAGGAGAUUUAGGUGAACGCACUUUUCGAUUUAUGAUCUCUCAUUAGAAUAGAGAGUUGUUUAGAAGUUACUUAACGUAAACUCUAGUACUCACGGCAAAUUGGGUUGACCGGUUUGACUUGUUGACUUUUGUUGACUU